Molecule: ribosomal RNA, 497 nt
Filed under: uncultured bacterium
Lineage: Bacteria
Description: partial 16S ribosomal RNA
Rfam family: Bacterial small subunit ribosomal RNA
Source: RNAcentral
GAUGAACGCUGGCGGCGUGCCUAAUACAUGCAAGUCGAGCGAACAGACGAGGAGCUUGCUCCUUUGACGUUAGCGGCGGACGGGUGAGUAACACGUGGGUAACCUACCUAUAAGACUGGGAUAACUUCGGGAAACCGGAGCUAAUACCGGAUAAUAUUUCGAACCGCAUGGUUCGAUAGUGAAAGAUGGCUUUGCUAUCACUUAUAGAUGGACCUGCGCCGUAUUAGCUAGUUGGUAAGGUAACGGCUUACCAAGGCAACGAUACGUAGCCGACCUGAGAGGGUGAUCGGGCACACUGGAACUGAGACACGGUCCAGACUCCUACGGGAGGCAGCAGUAGGGAAUCUUCCGGGAUGGGCGAGAGCCUGACGGAGCAACGCCGCGUGAGUGAUGAAGGUCUUCGGAUCGUAAAACUCUGUUAUUAGGGAAGAACAAACGUGUAAGUAACUGUGCACGUCUUGACGGUACCUAAUCAGAAAGCCACGGCUAACUACGUG